Molecule: ribosomal RNA, 254 nt
Filed under: uncultured bacterium
Lineage: Bacteria
Description: partial 16S ribosomal RNA
Rfam family: Bacterial small subunit ribosomal RNA
Source: RNAcentral
UACGUAGGUGGCAAGCGUUGUCCGGAAUUAUUGGGCGUAAAGCGCGCGCAGGCGGCUUCUUAAGUCUGAUGUGAAAUCUCGGGGCUCAACCCCGAGCGGCCAUUGGAAACUGGGAAGCUUGAGUACAGAAGAGGAGAGUGGAAUUCCACGUGUAGCGGUGAAAUGCGUAGAUAUGUGGAGGAACACCAGUGGCGAAGGCGACUCUCUGGUCUGUAACUGACGCUGAGGCGCGAAAAGCGUGGGGAGCAAACAGG